Molecule: ribosomal RNA, 599 nt
Filed under: uncultured Chlorobiota bacterium
Lineage: Bacteria; Pseudomonadati; Chlorobiota
Description: bacterial SSU rRNA
Rfam family: Bacterial small subunit ribosomal RNA
Source: RNAcentral
GACGAACGCUGGCGGCGUGCCUAACACAUGCAAGUCAAAGAAAAGCGACUUCGGUCGUCGUACUUGGCGCAAGGGUGAGUAAUGUAUAGGUAAUCUGCCUUUUGGACUGGGAUAACCCCGAGAAAUCGGGGACAAUACCAGAUGAUGCAGCGGAAUCGCAUGGUUAUGUUGUUAAAGAUUUAUCGCCAAAAGAUGAGCCUAUAUCCCAUCAGGUAGUUGGUAAGGUAACGGCUUACCAAGCCUACGACGGGUAGCUGGUCUGAGAGGAUGAUCAGCCACAUUGGAACUGAGACACGGUCCAGACUCCUACGGGAGGCAGCAGUGAGGAAUAUUGCGCAAUGGGCGAAAGCCUGACGCAGCAACGCCGCGUGGAUGAUGAGGUUCUUCGGAAUGUAAAAUCCUUUUGCAGGGGACGAACAGGUCGGCUUGCCGGCUGUGACGGUACCCUGCGAAUAAGCCACGGCUAACUCUGUGCCAGCAGCCGCGGUGAUACAGGGGUGGCAAGCGUUGUCCGGAUUUACUGUGUGUAAAGGGUGCGCAGGCGGAUCAAUAAGUCGGGGGUUAAAUCCAUGUGCUUAACACAUGCACGGCUUCCGAUA